CUGUUUGGAAUAUUGAUGGUUCAUUAAAUGAUUUCAAUGUGUAUCCACUUUCUGACAGUGGUAAAUCUGGGGUUGAAACAGAUUUCAAGGAUUAUGUUGAGAGUCUUGAUGCAGGACUAAUUGUUGCUAUUGCUGUAUAUGGUGAUCUUGGUGUUACUAAAGUACCAGGAAGGAACUGGGAAGAUGUAUAUUCUAGUAUAGAGCAACUUGGUGGAUUAGCCGCUACCACAAGUCAAAUACGAAACAUCGAUGGAAAAGAAGCAUACGCGUUUAUAACAAUGAAAGGCGAUGCUACGUCAACUUCCGAAGAAUAUAUCGAUGCUCCAUUUUAUGUGAAUGUUACAAGAACAUCGAUACAAAAAUUUGUUCACCAGGGAAAGGCUUUAGAAUUUAGAACUAGAAGUCAAGUUAAGGCCAAAAACACAGUUCCUGACAUUAACCAAGUAGAUUUUGAGGUUCUGACGACUGAAGUUUCUCAACCAAUAAUAACUGUUCGAGAUGAUGUAUCUUCUUGGAACCCAGGCGAUGAAAUUAUUGUGACAUCAACAGAUUUUGACUGGAGACAAGUGGAGCAGUUUAAGAUAUUAGUUUGUCCAGAUUGUUCAAAUAAUCAAAUUAAAUUAGACGGCGCUUUCCAGUAUCCCCAUUAUGGUAAGAUCACUCAUGGCGUCGAUGAAAGAGCAGAAGUUGCUUUAUUAACAAGGAAUAUUAAAAUAGAAGGCGAACUACAACCAAAAUGUUACGAUAAUGGUGAUCCUAAAGCAGCUUUGUUAUGUGAACGUUAUA
Long non-coding RNA from Patella vulgata (common limpet), 786 nucleotides. RefSeq lists it as uncharacterized. The transcript is spliced from 5 exons. Lineage: Eukaryota; Metazoa; Mollusca; Gastropoda; Patellidae. The record is from RefSeq and is a predicted model, not a curated record.